ACAUACGGCCACAGAUAUAGGGAAAUACGGGAUCUCAUCCACUCUCACGUAGUCAAGCCUAUAAUCACUGGGAAUAGUAGUUGAGUUAGUGAUGAUUAGCGAAUACCCGGUGCUGUAUGUU
This 121-nucleotide ribosomal RNA is filed under the name Diaporthe ampelina. The record is from RNAcentral. Lineage: Eukaryota; Fungi; Ascomycota; Sordariomycetes; Diaporthales; Diaporthaceae.